RNAcentral lists this unclassified non-coding RNA (494 nucleotides) under Metschnikowia sp. JSKim-2014. RNAcentral's name for it is "partial contains 18S rRNA, ITS1, 5.8S rRNA, and ITS2". The stretch from base 196 to 349 matches the Rfam family "5.8S ribosomal RNA". The record is from RNAcentral. Lineage: Eukaryota; Fungi; Ascomycota; Pichiomycetes; Serinales; Metschnikowiaceae.
GCGGAAGGAUCAUUAAAGAGUAAGGGUGCUCAGCGCCCGACCUCCAACCCUUUGUUGUUAAAACUACCUUGUUGCUUUGGCGGGACCGCUCGGUCUCGAGCCGCUGGGGAUUCGUCCCAGGCGAGCGCCCGCCAGAGUUAAACCAAACUCUUGUUAUUUAACCGGUCGUCUGAGUUAAAAUUUUGAAUAAAUCAAAACUUUCAACAACGGAUCUCUUGGUUCUCGCAUCGAUGAAGAACGCAGCGAAAUGCGAUAAGUAAUGUGAAUUGCAGAAUUCAGUGAAUCAUCGAAUCUUUGAACGCACAUUGCGCCCCUUGGUAUUCCGAGGGGCAUGCCUGUUCGAGCGUCAUUACACCACUCAAGCUAUGCUUGGUAUUGGGCGUCGUCCUUAGUUGGGCGCGCCUUAAAGACCUCGGCGAGGCCACUCCGGCUUUAGGCGUAGUAGAAUUUAUUCGAACGUCUGUCAAAGGAGAGGAACUCUGCCGACUGAAACC